This 332-nucleotide ribosomal RNA is filed under the name uncultured Chloroflexota bacterium. Its description in RNAcentral is "bacterial SSU rRNA". It matches the Rfam family "Bacterial small subunit ribosomal RNA", at positions 568 to 898 of the family's 1533-position model. Lineage: Bacteria; Bacillati; Chloroflexota. The record is from RNAcentral.
CGUUCAGGCGGUUUGGCAAGUCGGGCAUGAAAUCCUUCGGCUCAACCGGGGGAGGUUGUCCGAUACUGCUGAACUGGAGGGCAGUAGAGGGUGGUGGAAUUCCGGGUGUAGUGGUGAAAUGCGUAGAGAUCCGGAGGAACACCAGUGGCGAAAGCGGCCACCUGGACUGUACCUGACGCUGAAACGCGAAAGCUAGGGGAGCGAACGGGAUUAGAAACCCCGGUAGUCCUAGCUAUAAACGAUGUUGACUAGGUGUGGACGGUCUAAACCCCGCCCGUGCCGGAGCAAACGCAUUAAGUCAACCGCCUGGGGACUACGGCCGCAAGGUUAAA